Molecule: long non-coding RNA, 1214 nt
Filed under: Mus spicilegus (steppe mouse)
Lineage: Eukaryota; Metazoa; Chordata; Mammalia; Rodentia; Muridae
Description: lncRNA (ENSMSIG00000029852.1)
Source: RNAcentral
AUUCAGUGUUGACAGUUAUCUGCAUGCUCUUUACAGAGCCACUAAAGUGAGCCUGCCACAGGACACACAAGGCCUUUUGUCUGGGGCUCUUGUGUGGAUCUCACACAGAGCAUGAUAUCCAGGGAAGUGUAAGUGUGAUCUGGGUAACAAGGGCAUGACCUGAGGCCGAGGUUUGCUUCUGUUGAGGCACUGAGGUGACAGUGUGUUCUUUUUCUCCCUAGGACUGGCCCCUGGGAUUUGCUGCUCAGGACCCGAGUUCACUGAGACAUCAGGAGCAAGCACUGGAGGCCCGGUGCUGCUGGACCCAGAUGGGAGCCAUGCAGGACUUGACCAUUGCCUGCACACACUUCUUCCCAGGAGAAAGGGAAUGAGCAAGGACUGGCCCCUGGGAUUUGCUGCUCAGAACCUGAAUUCACUGAGACAUCAGGAGCAAGCACUGGAGGCCGGUGCUGCUGGACCCAGAUGGGAGCCAUGCAGGACUUGACCAUUGCCUGCACACACUUCUUCCAGGAGAAGGGGAAUGAGGAAGGCAGACUGACAUCACAGUACCCUUCAGAGUAUUAAUGCAGACCCUGGUGACUGAGGUACAGUACCAACUACCAAAUGGGCAGCUGUGCUGAGGUGCAGGGACAGGAAGCAGAAGGGCAGGUUCCAGCCCGCUCAGCUGGCCAUGAACUGGCCCCUGGGAUUUGCUGCUCAGGACCCGAGUUCACUGAGACAUGAGGAGCAAGCACUGGAGACCGGGUGCUGCUGGACCCUGAUGGGAGCCAUGCGGGACUUGACCAUGGCCUGCACACACUUCUUCCCAGGAGAAGGGGAAUGAGGAAGGUGGGGGCCUCAAGGCUUUUUUUCCUCUUCUUUUUGCCUUGCUAAGUUUUUAUAUUCCUCUUUAUCCAUUUGAUUAUUUUGUACAAAAAUCAGGUACAGCCUCCUUACAUAUGGCAUUGAUAUAAAGUGUAAAACAGAAGCUAAAUUCUAGGAGUACAGCUUUCAUGAUUCUGACACAGACUAGGAAGGCUAGAACUGCAUAGUUAGUGGACACUGCCUGUGUAUUGACAUUUUUUUCAGACUGAAGGCCAGGACAGAGAGCUGCAGUCAGUAUACUUUCCCUGCUCUGGGGCAACACUGCCAUCAUGGGAAAAUGUUUCCUGUAGACCAGCACAGGCACAGACCCCUCCUCCAUCCUGCAUCUCCUCAGCCAUUUUGAAGCAGGA